Molecule: long non-coding RNA, 235 nt
Filed under: Sinocyclocheilus anshuiensis
Lineage: Eukaryota; Metazoa; Chordata; Actinopteri; Cypriniformes; Cyprinidae
Description: lncRNA (ENSSANG00000028826.1)
Source: RNAcentral
CCGCUGUAAAUUAUCAAAUCAGCAGAAAUCAAGCUGUUAAACGACUGGGUCGCUGUUGGAACCAGACAAGUUCCAGCCCACCCUGAACCCCUGACCCGGUCAAGAUCUGGACUCAAAGGAUAAAGGACUGCAGAGUAACGCCAGAGAAAAUAAUGAGGGAGGAAAACGGGCGCUGUGCAGAAUACUCAGAAACUGUCCUGCUGAUAUCAUGCAUCCAUCAAGGAAAGGAUGAGGG